GAUGGAGGAUCGGAUUUGUGGAUAUGAGCAGGCUGAGCAGGAGUGGGAGGCUGAGAGGCAGAGGGCGGCAGAAGAAUUGCAGAGGAUGGAGAACCGGGCUCGCCGCUCUGAAGAGGAAGCUCUUCGUCUGCGAAAGAGACUGUGGCCGGAUGAGGGGAAGAAGGAAUCUUAUUCCGAGGGUGGGUGCUUUGGAGGUGGCUCCCAGGAGCAGGACACCAGGAGCAACAGGGCAAUCUACAUAGUGAUAGCAGUGCUGGCUGUUCUAUUUUUCCUUCGUGAGCAUUUCAGCCUGGAGUGAAGGAGCAGCACUCAGCCUGGGCCGCCUCUGCUGUUCUGGGGGGAAGUCAGACACAGAAAGCAGGAUUGGAGAGAGUUGGGGAGGGUGUGAAAAGAUCAGGUAUGGUGAACCAUCUCGGCCGUGAGGU
RNAcentral lists this long non-coding RNA (425 nucleotides) under Phasianus colchicus (ring-necked pheasant). RNAcentral describes it as "lncRNA (ENSPCLG00000014397.1)". The record is from RNAcentral. Lineage: Eukaryota; Metazoa; Chordata; Aves; Galliformes; Phasianidae.